This 216-nucleotide ribosomal RNA is filed under the name uncultured bacterium. Its description in RNAcentral is "partial 16S ribosomal RNA". It matches the Rfam family "Bacterial small subunit ribosomal RNA", at positions 118 to 335 of the family's 1533-position model. The record is from RNAcentral.
UGAGGAAUCUGUCCAUCGGCGGGGGAUAGCCGGCCCAACGGCCGGGUAAUACCGCGUACGUCGGCGGGAGCGCAUGCUCCUGCCGGGAAAGCAGCAAUGCACCGAUGGAGGAUCUCGCGGCCUAUCAGCUUGUUGGUGAGGUCACGGCUCACCAAGGCGACGACGGGUAGCUGGUCUGAGAGGAUGAUCAGCCACAUUGGGACUGAGACACGCAGA